Molecule: ribosomal RNA, 468 nt
Filed under: uncultured bacterium
Lineage: Bacteria
Description: partial 16S ribosomal RNA
Rfam family: Bacterial small subunit ribosomal RNA
Source: RNAcentral
GACGAACGCUGGCGGCGUGCUUAACACAUGCAAGUCGAACGGAAAGGCCCUGCUUUUGUGGGGUGCUCGAGUGGCGAACGGGUGAGUAACACGUGAGUAACCUGCCCUUGACUUUGGGAUAACUUCAGGAAACUGGGGCUAAUACCGGAUAGGAGCUCCUGCUGCAUGGUGGGGGUUGGAAAGUUUCGGCGGUUGGGGAUGGACUCGCGGCUCAUCAGCUUGUUGGUGGGGUAGUGGCUUACCAAGGCUUUGACGGGUAGCCGGCCUGAGAGGGUGACCGGCCACAUUGGGACUGAGAUACGGCCCAGACUCCUACGGGAGGCAGCGGUGGGGAAUAUUGCACAAUGGGCGGAAGCCUGAUGCAGCAACGCCGCGUGCGGGAUGACGGCCUUCGGGUUGUAAACCGCUUUCGCCUGGGACGAAGCGUGAGUGACGGUAAUGGGUAAAGAAGCACCGGCUAACUACGUG